RNAcentral lists this ribosomal RNA (253 nucleotides) under uncultured bacterium. Its description in RNAcentral is "partial 16S ribosomal RNA". It matches the Rfam family "Bacterial small subunit ribosomal RNA", at positions 524 to 776 of the family's 1533-position model. The record is from RNAcentral.
UACGUAGGGGGCAAGCGUUGUCCGGAAUCAUUGGGCGUAAAGCGUGCGUAGGUGGUUCGUUGUGUCUGUGGUGAAAGCCCCGGGCUUAACCUGGGAAUGGCCAUGGAAACUGGCGAGCUGGAGUGUGGCAGAGGGGGGUGGAAUUCCGCGUGUAGCAGUGAAAUGCGUAGAGAUGCGGAGGAACACCGAUGGCGAAGGCAAUCCCCUGGGCCUGCACUGACGCUCAUGCACGAAAGCGUGGGGAGCAAACAGG